RNAcentral lists this ribosomal RNA (344 nucleotides) under uncultured bacterium. Its description in RNAcentral is "bacterial SSU rRNA". It matches the Rfam family "Bacterial small subunit ribosomal RNA", at positions 396 to 739 of the family's 1533-position model. The record is from RNAcentral.
GUAGCGUGAAGGAUGACUGCCUAUGGGUUGUAAACUUCUUUUAUAUGGGAAUAAGUGGUCCACGUGUGGACUUUUGUAUGUACCAUAUGAAUAAGGAUCGGCUAACUCCGUGCCAGCAGCCGCGGUAAUACGGAGGAUCCGAGCGUUAUCCGGAUUUAUUGGGUUUAAAGGGAGCGUAGGCGGAUUGUUAAGUCAGUUGUGAAAGUUUGCGGCUCAACCGUAAAAUUGCAGUUGAUACUGGCAGUCUUGAGUGCAGUAGAGGUGGGCGGAAUUCGUGGUGUAGCGGUGAAAUGCUUAGAUAUCACGAAGAACUCCGAUUGCGAAGGCAGCUCACUGGAGUGUAA